Molecule: ribosomal RNA, 448 nt
Filed under: uncultured bacterium
Lineage: Bacteria
Description: bacterial SSU rRNA
Rfam family: Bacterial small subunit ribosomal RNA
Source: RNAcentral
GCCAGACUCCUACGGGAGGCAGCAGUGGGGAAUAUUGCACAAUGGGGGAAACCCUGAUGCAGCGACGCCGCGUGAGUGAAGAAGUAUUUCGGUAUGUAAAGCUCUAUCAGCAGGGAAGAAAAUGACGGUACCUGAUUAAGAAGCCCCGGCUAACUACGUGCCAGCAGCCGCGGUAAUACGUAGGGGGCAAGCGUUAUCCGGAUUUACUGGGUGUAAAGGGAGCGUAGACGGUGAUGCAAGUCAGAAGUGAAAGCCCGGGGCUCAACUCCGGGACUGCUUUUGAAACUGUGUGACUGGAGUGCAGGAGAGGUAAGCGGAAUUCCUGGUGUAGCGGUGAAAUGCGUAGAUAUCAGGAGGAACACCAGUGGCGAAGGCGGCUUACUGGACUGUAACUGACGUUGAGGCUCGAAAGCGUGGGGAGCAAACAGGAUUAGAUACCCCAGUACAA